This 26-nucleotide non-coding RNA is filed under the name Mus musculus (house mouse). Lineage: Eukaryota; Metazoa; Chordata; Mammalia; Rodentia; Muridae. The record is from RNAcentral.
UUAGUAGCGAGUACUCUCUGUUGAGU